Long non-coding RNA from Notothenia coriiceps (black rockcod), 169 nucleotides. RefSeq lists it as uncharacterized. NCBI's taxonomy places the organism in Eukaryota, Metazoa, Chordata, Actinopteri, Perciformes, Nototheniidae. The transcript has 2 exons. The record is from RefSeq and is a predicted model, not a curated record.
UGAAGUUCAUGGGCAGCCUGGAUGUGGACCGGGUCUCUAAGAUCUUCAUAGAAGCUCUGAACUCCUUCAUGGGCCGCAGGAAGAGCCCGCUCAGCGCUCAGAUGUUCACAGAUCUGUUCACCAGGUUCCCCGGUUUGUGUGUGAAGAUGUUGGAUGCCGCCGUGCAGCA